RNAcentral lists this ribosomal RNA (152 nucleotides) under Glossina palpalis gambiensis. RNAcentral describes it as "5.8S ribosomal RNA". It matches the Rfam family "Bacterial large subunit ribosomal RNA", at positions 13 to 163 of the family's 2925-position model. Lineage: Eukaryota; Metazoa; Arthropoda; Insecta; Diptera; Glossinidae. The record is from RNAcentral.
AAGCGUACACAGUGGAUGCCUAGGUAGUCAGAGGCGACGAAGGACGUGCUAAUCUGCGAAAAGCGUCGGCUAGCUGAUACGAAGCGUUAUUAACCGGCGAUAUCCGAAUGGGGAAACCCGAUACAUUUUUAUUGUAUCAUCAUUAAGUGAAU